RNAcentral lists this ribosomal RNA (972 nucleotides) under Bacillus cereus. RNAcentral's name for it is "bacterial SSU rRNA". It matches the Rfam family "Bacterial small subunit ribosomal RNA", at positions 533 to 1501 of the family's 1533-position model. Lineage: Bacteria; Bacillati; Bacillota; Bacilli; Caryophanales; Bacillaceae. The record is from RNAcentral.
AGGGGCCGUUCUCCGGACUAUUGCGGCGUAAGCGCGCGCAGGCGGAUUUUUAAGUCUGAUGUGAAAUCCCGCGGGCUCAACCCCGGAACUGCCUUGGAAACUGGAAGACUUGAGUGCGGAAAAGGAGAAUGGAAUUCCAAGUGUAGAGGUGAAAUGCGUAGAUAUUCGGAGGAACACCAGUGGCGAAGGCGACUUUCUGGUCUGUUACUGACGCUUAAGGUGCGAAAGCGUGGGGAGCAAACAGGAUUAGAUACCCUGGUAGUCCACGCCGUAAACGAUGAAUGUUAGCCGUUUGGGGAUUUCACUCCCUUUGAGGCUAAACUUAACCCUUUAACCUUUCCGCCGGGGAAGUACGGCCGCAGAUGUCUGAAUCUCAAGAGAUUUGAGGGGCCCCCGCACAACCGGUGGACCGUGUGUUUUAUUUCAAAGCAACGCAAAAACCCUUACCAGGCUCUUGACAUCCUCUGACCGACUCUGAAGAUAUGGCUUCCCCUUCGGGAGCACAGUGACAGGUGGUGCAUGGUUGUCGUCAGCUCGUGUCGUGAGAUGUUGGGUUAAGUCCCGCAACGAGCGCAACCCUCGAUCUUAGUUGCCAUCAUUUAGUUGGGCACUCUAAGGUGACUGCCGGUGACAAACCGAAGGAAGGUUGGGAAGACACCCAAUCCUCCUGGCCCUUAUGACCUGGGCUACACACCUGCUCCAAUGGACGGUACACAGAGCUGCACGACCGCGAGAGUGGAGCCAAUCUCUUAAAACCGCUCUCAGUUCGGAUUGCACGCUGCAACUCGCCUGCAUGAAGCUGGAAUCGCUAGUAAUCGCGGAUCAGCAUGCGCGGGGGGAAAUCGUUCCCCGGGCCUUGUACACACGGCCCGUCACACCACGAGAGUUUGUACUACCCGAGUGCGCUGGGCUACCUUUUUGGAGCAGCCGCCUAAGGUGGGACAAUGAUGGGGUAAUCAAAAAAAAACCCCC